RNAcentral lists this ribosomal RNA (1036 nucleotides) under uncultured bacterium. RNAcentral's name for it is "bacterial SSU rRNA". It matches the Rfam family "Bacterial small subunit ribosomal RNA", at positions 336 to 1393 of the family's 1533-position model. The record is from RNAcentral.
CUCCUACGGGAGGCAGCAGUGGGGAAUAUUGCACAAUGGGGGAAACCCUGAUGCAGCGACGCCGCGUGGAGGAAGAAGGUCUUCGGAUUGUAAACUCCUGUUGUUGAGGAAGAUAAUGACGGUACUCAACAAGGAAGUGACGGCUAACUACGUGCCAGCAGCCGCGGUAAAACGUAGGUCACAAGCGUUGUCCGGAAUUACUGGGUGUAAAGGGAGCGCAGGCGGGAAGACAAGUUGGAAGUGAAAUCUAUGGGCUCAACCCAUAAACUGCUUUCAAAACUGUUUUUCUUGAGUAGUGCAGAGGUAGGCGGAAUUCCCGGUGUAGCGGUGGAAUGCGUAGAUAUCGGGAGGAACACCAGUGGCGAAGGCGGCCUACUGGGCACCAACUGACGCUGAGGCUCGAAAGUGUGGGUAGCAAACAGGAUUAGAUACCCUGGUAGUCCACACCGUAAACGAUGAUUACUAGGUGUUGGAGGAUUGACCCCUUCAGUGCCGCAGUUAACACAAUAAGUAAUCCACCUGGGGAGUACGACCGCAAGGUUGAAACUCAAAGGAAUUGACGGGGGCCCGCACAAGCAGUGGAGUAUGUGGUUUAAUUCGACGCAACGCGAAGAACCUUACCAAGUCUUGACAUCCCUUGACGAACAUAGAAAUAUGUUUUCUCUUCGGAGCAAGGAGACAGGUGGUGCAUGGUUGUCGUCAGCUCGUGUCGUGAGAUGUUGGGUUAAGUCCCGCAACGAGCGCAACCCUUGCCUUCAGUUACCAGCAUUUAGUUGGGGACUCUGGAGGGACUGCCGGUGAUAAACCGGAGGAAGGUGGGGAUGACGUCAAAUCAUCAUGCCCCUUAUGGCCUGGGCUACACACGUACUACAAUGGCUGUUACAACGUGCAGCGACCUAGCGAUAGGAAGCGAAUCACUAAAAGACAGUCUCAGUUCGGAUUGAAGUCUGCAACUCGACUUCAUGAAGCUGGAAUCGCUAGUAAUCGCGGAUCAGAAUGCCGCGGUGAAUACGUUCUCGGGCCUUGUACACACCGC